Osmerus eperlanus (European smelt) is the source of this 370-nucleotide long non-coding RNA. RefSeq lists it as uncharacterized. Lineage: Eukaryota; Metazoa; Chordata; Actinopteri; Osmeriformes; Osmeridae. The transcript is spliced from 3 exons. The record is from RefSeq and is a predicted model, not a curated record.
AAUCAUGCUAACUCUUGUAAACUUGUUUUACUUGUCUUUAAUGACAGACACAUUACAGGUUAUGCUCCGGAAGAUGGAGACAUUGGAGGAGAACCAGCGAGAGGCUCUCCUAUUCAGGCGACUACAGGGCAGACACACUGAAGAGGUGCCAGUGAUGGACCUACAGGUGUCCCAAACACAGGCUGAACUCCAAGACCUUGAGGAGCGCCUUAAGGUGCUGGAGUUGCGAAAGAGAGUGACGCUGUGAUGAAGUGGAAGACGGGACUGGGAGAGAAAGCUGUGGAGCUCCUCAUAGAGGAGACACUCAAACACACCCCGGCAGCCCAUUCAAAACAAGCCAGACAGGACCUGUAGCGGGGACUGGCAGAAG